UGGGGCAGGAUUCACUUCUUUCAUUCCACUCCAAAAUGCAAGAUAGGUGGAAAUGAUGUUCACAUUUUGUGAUAAGUUUCGGAUUCUCUGUAUCAUACUCUGCAAGCGGAAGAACCCAUAAUUUUAAGCAUUAAUUAUGAGCUGCUCGACUUCACUGUCUAUUCCUUGACUUCACUGCCCAUUCACCUGCAAAUUGGCAUAGAGUAGAUAAUAGAAUUAAAGAACAUAAAAAACUAAAUAAACCACACCUUCAAGACAAAUGGGACAAGUGUCCUCCUCUUCUGAUGCUGCUAACACAUUUAAUUGUGAAACUUCAGACUUCCUUGGUGAAGCAAUCAAAGAACUAGCUUGAGUUUUGCAGUCUGCAUCCUCAAAAUCUUCACACGUAGCUAAUGUUUUAUUUAAAAUUUUGACAAAAAUCUUGAGUUAUUAACUUAAAUUAAUUAAGGUGUAUAAGAAUUGGGAAUAAAUUGGCAUGUUACUUGAUAGCUACUAUGUUGGACUUGGUUCGGCCUGCCAGUGGCGUGCUUCGAUAUUAAACCAAAGGGUGGAACUUUUAACACGCAGCGUGUGAAAAUGGAGUUUUUUUUUACGCGCUACUAAAAUCCUUAUAACAUCCAUUUUGAUUUUUUUUUUUCCUGAAAUAUCUCAUUUUAUAAAAUAAAAAUUAAAAUAUUAAAAAAAAUCAUCUUCUCAUCAAUAACACAACCAAAAAUAGAUAUUAUCUAUUUCUUUAAGUUUUUAUUUAUAAAAUAUAUACAGAUUCUAAAAUCUUAAAAAAAUUUAUUCUCAUUAUAUCAUUGCUAUCUCCAUAACUCUAAGCUCUUAUAAUUUUGUCAAAAAAAAAAUUUUCAAUUAAAAUUUAAAAUACAGAAAUAUAGUGAAAUGGGGUGAUGUAAAAAAUUUGUUAAGAGAAUAAAUUAUUUAAGCAUUGAUUGAAUUUUCAUUUAAAAUAAGAAAUGAAUUAAGCUAUCUUUGAUCAUUUUUAUAAUUUCAAUAAAAAAUGGUUUUCUGAGUAAUUUUGAAGGGUGUCAAAAGUCCUAGUCGAAGCCAAAUUUUUGACACCAACGACAGUGGACUUGCGUUCAGUAAUUGAGUGAUUGUCGAACAGCAUUAACGAACUCGGUACCAAUUUCACUGAAUUUCAAUCUAAACAGUAAUGUAAGUGAUUUGAUUACUUAGAGUAUACCCUGUACGUAAGAAAAGAAUCUACUGGGCAAUAGAUUGAAUAAAAAAAAAAAAUCAAUUUUUAUUUUCUACUAAUCCGUGAAUAAUAUUCAACUAUACCUAAAAGAAUUUAAGGGAAAUGAAUGUGAUAACACAUUAAAAAAAAAAAAAAAAGAAUUAGCAUUGUGGUUUCUAAUUAUAGAGAUUUAUUAUUGACGCUCCACAGCAAUUAUACCUAUCAAUUCUAAGAUUAUCAAUUAUGAGCACACAAUUUACAUCAAUUAAAUUAUAAAAUUAGGUUUCUGUAAUUGGCUAUGAGAGUUUAUUUUCUUUGGUUUUCUAUAUUAGUUUGGGCUCAUAAUUUCUAUGGCUUGUGUACCCGAAAUUUAUUAAAUAUUGUCAUAAACACAUAGACAACAAAUAGUCUCUUCGAGCCUCUUCGAAAGAGACUUUGCGUAUCAUAAUACAACUCUAAGCUAUGUUAUAAUACAACUUGAUCUAGGUAGUUCAGUAAAUGUCUUAUGUAAAUAUGAGUAGACUUUUAUUUGGAUAAUAUAAUAUUAGUGAUUCAAAAAAAAAAAAAAAUUUCCAAACUCAAAAGACCCCGUUUGUGAAGAUUACAAAAACUCAUUAAAAAAAAAAAAAAAACAAAAGCCACGAUUAUGCAGCAAACAACGUCAUUAAAAAGGGUUCAAAAUACAAAAACUGUACAAGACAUAUUUUAUCAACACAAUACAAGGCAAAACUAUGUUUUCAAAUUUUCAUACUUAGCAUAUGGUUGUGUAUGAUUUUCUCAGGCAAAACAGCAGCUACACCACCAACAAUUCAAAGGGUUCGAUAAAAAGCCAGCAUGCUGUAUCAAAACUUCGUCCCUUGCACUUUGGAGUGAUCCAUGGCAACAAUAACAUAUCGAAACACUGCAUCCUUCAAAAUAAUUAGAACCUAAAUCAAAAUGGAUCUGUCAACACCAUCUGUUUAUCUUCCGUGGAACAAAACUGACAUGCAUCUGCAAUCUACUAAACCAGCAAGCAUUCAUUUCAGAUAGCAAAGAAACUCCCAUCUUUAAGUAGACUUGCUACUAAUUAAAGGUAUGAUCAAAUAUCAUUUCCUGAGAAAAUAAAGAUUAACAAACUUUCAUUAGUUCAUGAGAACAUGCUGUGCACAACAUACCAACACAAACCUACAAAUUCAAUUGAAUCCUCAAAAAUUAAAAGCUCAGGUUCAAGCAAUCUACAAGCAUCAACAAUACACAUCUAAUUAGCUCAAAAGUUAUUACAUUUGAAAGUACAUGUAUCUCAGUAAUUCAAUCAUUUUCUUCUUUCCAAAAAUUCUAACUUCUCAGAUUAAAGAUUCCUGUAAAAUGAUGCAGAAUGUGUAUUAUUUUACGGAGUAAAGAGAAAACGAAUGAACCAGGCUCUUAAAUAUAUGGCAAUUAAACAAUAGAAUUGAAAAAACACCUAGAUAUUGCACAUACAAGUAAUUGCAAGAGGCAAACCUGAUCACAUAUGGGGCAGGAUUCACUUCUUUCAUUCCACUCCAAAAUGCAAGAUAGGUGGAAAUGAUGUUCACAUUUUGUGAUAAGUUUUGGAUUCUCUGUAUCAUACUCUGCAGGCGGAAGAACCCAUAAUUUUAAGCAUUAAUUAUCAGCUGCUGGACUUUACUGCCAUUCACCAGCAAAUUGUCAUUGAGUAGAUAAUAGAAUUAAAGCAC
Molecule: long non-coding RNA, 2877 nt
Filed under: Citrus sinensis (sweet orange)
Lineage: Eukaryota; Viridiplantae; Streptophyta; Magnoliopsida; Sapindales; Rutaceae
Description: long non-coding RNA (CSIN_LNC004108)
Source: RNAcentral